This 253-nucleotide ribosomal RNA is filed under the name uncultured bacterium. RNAcentral describes it as "partial 16S ribosomal RNA". It matches the Rfam family "Bacterial small subunit ribosomal RNA", at positions 524 to 776 of the family's 1533-position model. The record is from RNAcentral.
UACAGAGGUCCCGAGCGUUGUUCGGAUUCACUGGGCGUAAAGGGCGCGUAGGCGGGAUGGCAAGUCGGUCGUGAAAUCCUUCGGCUCAACCGAAGAACGUCGAUCGAUACUGCUGUUCUUGAGGGUUGCAGAGGAGACUGGAAUUCCCGGUGUAGCGGUGAAAUGUGUAGAGAUCGGGAGGAACACCGGUGGCGAAGGCGGGUCUCUGGGCAAUUCCUGACGCUGAGGCGCGAAAGCGUGGGGAGCAAACGGG